Molecule: microRNA, 25 nt
Filed under: Canis lupus familiaris (dog)
Lineage: Eukaryota; Metazoa; Chordata; Mammalia; Carnivora; Canidae
Description: cfa-miR-8829
Source: miRBase by way of RNAcentral
UUGGCCUCUGUUCCAUGCCUGGGCU